Molecule: transfer RNA, 80 nt
Filed under: Streptomyces anulatus
Lineage: Bacteria; Bacillati; Actinomycetota; Actinomycetes; Kitasatosporales; Streptomycetaceae
Description: tRNA-OTHER
Source: RNAcentral
UGGUCCCUAGCUCAAGUGGCAGAGCGCCCCAACCCGGGCAUGUAACGGGGUGGUUCCUGGUUCGAAUCCAGGGGGAUCAA